GGGGGCGACAUGGCUUCGACGUGGGUAGCAAAACCUUAAGCGCAUGUCGAGGACUGUACACCUCGUAAAUCCUACAGAAACUAAGUAUUCGCAAACGACGAAAACUACUCAAUGGCUUUAGCUGCUUAAACACAGCACCAUUCCUUUGACCAUCUGUGCUUAUGCGGGUGGAGACUAGUUCGCUAGUCGCUCAGAGGUCAUUUACAUAAGAUCGCGCUGAAAUCCGUCCGGUGUGGAUGCGCUAAAACCCUACGGAAUCGCUGGUGGUUUUCUUGGCUCGACGGGUAAUCACUGGCUAAAUUAAAGUGCGAGAUAAACAUGUAGACCUUAUGGCGGAGUACUUGCGGACGCGGGUUCAAUUCCCGCCGCCUCCACCA
RNAcentral lists this transfer-messenger RNA (377 nucleotides) under Methylococcales. RNAcentral describes it as "KS41 sp013140465 Standard tmRNA". It matches the Rfam family "transfer-messenger RNA". Rfam says of the family: Bacterial tmRNA, also known as 10Sa RNA or SsrA, is named for its dual tRNA and mRNA-like properties. Lineage: Bacteria; Pseudomonadati; Pseudomonadota; Gammaproteobacteria. The record is from RNAcentral. RNAcentral also lists the same sequence under 1 other name.